UUAAAAGCUUUGAUGAGGAAGAGUAGUCACAAUCUUGAAGUAUAGAGAGGGAUUGGCGGUGGAAAUAUCCCGGGAUGGAUAUGACGAAGGUAGCCUUGGAGCUUUGAACUGAACGCUUUUGCUAGUAGGUUUUAACGGGAGUUCCCGCUGUUAAAAGGGAAGUAGUAUCGGCAGACUUAUGCCCGUACUAUAUUAAAGAGUGUACUUAUGUACAAAAUUAGGUGGUACCGCGAAUAUAACCUUUCGUCCUAUUG
RNAcentral lists this non-coding RNA (254 nucleotides) under Clostridium oryzae. RNAcentral's name for it is "T-box sequence". It matches the Rfam family "T-box leader". Rfam says of the family: Uncharged tRNA acts as the effector for transcription antitermination of genes in the T-box leader family. Lineage: Bacteria; Bacillati; Bacillota; Clostridia; Eubacteriales; Clostridiaceae. The record is from RNAcentral.